Microtus ochrogaster (prairie vole) is the source of this 156-nucleotide small nuclear RNA. Its record names the gene U1. It matches the Rfam family "U1 spliceosomal RNA". From Rfam's summary of the family: U1 is a small nuclear RNA (snRNA) component of the spliceosome (involved in pre-mRNA splicing). Its 5' end forms complementary base pairs with the 5' splice junction, thus defining the 5' donor site of an intron. The record is from Ensembl. Lineage: Eukaryota; Metazoa; Chordata; Mammalia; Rodentia; Cricetidae.
AUACUGACCUGGCAGGGGAAAUGCCAUGAUUAACAAUAUGUUUAUCCAAGGUGUGGCUUAACCAGCAUACCCCAGAUGUGCCAAACCCUGUGAGUUUGGGAAACUUGGCUGCAUAAUUUGUGGUAGUGGAGGGGAUUGUGUUUGUGCACUCUCCUA